UACGGGGGGGGCAAGCGUUGUUCGGAAUUACUGGGCGUAAAGGGCUCGUAGGUGGCCAACUAAGUCACACGUGAAAUCCCCAGGCUUAACCUGGGAACUGCGUGUGAUACUGGAUGGCUUGAAUCCGGGAGAGGGAUGCGGAAUUCCAGGUGUAGCGGUGAAAUGCGUAGAUAUCUGGAGGAACACCGGUGGCGAAGGCGGCAUCCUGGACCGGUAUUGACACUGAAAAGCGAAAGCCAGGGGAGCAAACGGG
This 253-nucleotide ribosomal RNA is filed under the name uncultured bacterium. RNAcentral describes it as "partial 16S ribosomal RNA". It matches the Rfam family "Bacterial small subunit ribosomal RNA", at positions 524 to 776 of the family's 1533-position model. The record is from RNAcentral.